AUUGAACGCUGGCGGCAGGCCUAACACAUGCAAGUCGAGCGGAUGAAGGGAGCUUGCGCCUGGAUUCAGCGGCGGACGGGUGAGUAAUGCCUAGGAAUCUGCCUGGUAGUGGGGGAUAACGUCCGGAAACGGGCGCUAAUACCGCAUACGUCCUGCGGGAGAAAGUGGGGGAUCUUCGGACCUCACGCUAUCAGAUGAGCCUAGGCCGGAUUAGCUAGCUGGUGGGGUAAAGGCCUACCAAGGAGACGAUCCGUAGCUGGACUGAGAGGAUGAUCAGUCACCUUGGAACUGAGACACGGUCCAGAGUACUAAGGGAGGCAGCAGUGGGGAAUAUUGGACAGUGGGCGAAAGCCUGAUCCAGCCAUGCCGCGCGUGUGAAGAAGGUCCUCGGAUUGGAAAGCACUUUAAGUUGGGAGGAAGGGCAGUAAGUUGAUACCUUGCUGUUUUGACGUUACCAACAGAAGAAGCACCGGCUAACUUCGCG
This 484-nucleotide ribosomal RNA is filed under the name uncultured bacterium. RNAcentral describes it as "partial 16S ribosomal RNA". It matches the Rfam family "Bacterial small subunit ribosomal RNA", at positions 30 to 507 of the family's 1533-position model. The record is from RNAcentral.